GCUCGACAAGAUCUUGAUGCUCAAGCUGGAAAGUGGUUCAUAUUACAACCAGAUCAUACUGAAGUUCAGGAAGUGGCUGCAUGAGGUGUGUUGUGUUCUUGUUUUCCCUGGGAGCAGAACAUGACCGCGUGUGUCAUUGGGUGAUCCAAUCUGG
Long non-coding RNA from Lolium rigidum, 154 nucleotides. RefSeq lists it as uncharacterized. The record is from RefSeq and is a predicted model, not a curated record. Lineage: Eukaryota; Viridiplantae; Streptophyta; Magnoliopsida; Poales; Poaceae. The transcript is spliced from 3 exons.